RNAcentral lists this ribosomal RNA (301 nucleotides) under uncultured bacterium. Its description in RNAcentral is "partial 16S ribosomal RNA". It matches the Rfam family "Bacterial small subunit ribosomal RNA", at positions 509 to 807 of the family's 1533-position model. The record is from RNAcentral.
CAGCCGCCGCGGGAAUACCGAGGGUGCGAGCGUUAAUCGGAUUUACUGGGCGUAAAGCGUGCGUAGGCGGCUUCUUAAGUCGGAUGUGAAAUCCCUGGGCUCAACCUGGGAAUUGCAGUGGAUACUGGGUCACUAGAGUGUGGUAGAGGAUAGUGGAAUUUCCGGUGUAGCAGUGAAAUGCGUAGAGAUCGGAAGGAACAUCUGUGGCGAAGGCGACUAUCUGGGCCAACACUGACACUGAGGCACGAAAGCGUGGGGAGCAAACAGGAUUAGAUACCCCGGUAGUCCCUGUCUCUUAUAC